RNAcentral lists this long non-coding RNA (278 nucleotides) under Marmota monax (woodchuck). The record is from RNAcentral. Lineage: Eukaryota; Metazoa; Chordata; Mammalia; Rodentia; Sciuridae.
AAGUUGGGGGUCUUCUGGUUUCUUCUGACUGCUCCCCUCAGGACCAAGAGUGGUUGGAGGCAGGCUGGGGAGGAGGGCAGGUCGUGCAGAUCCUCAGGAGAUGGAAAAUGCCCGGGACAGACAGGUCAGAAACAGAUUCAAUACUUAGAAUGGCACAGCUUAGUUUAUGGAUUUUUUAUUUUAUUUUUUGGUACCAAGGAUUGAACCCAGGGGUGCUUAACCAUGAGCUACAACCUCAGCCCUUACUUGCAUUUUAUUUAGAGACAGGGUCUCACUGA